AAUUAUGGUGGGCUGGUUGAGGGCGCUUCGGCGCGCCGUUUCCGAGUAUGCGGUAAGACCAACCUUGAUCAGUCCACCACCAGC
This 84-nucleotide non-coding RNA is filed under the name Vibrio proteolyticus NBRC 13287. Lineage: Bacteria; Pseudomonadati; Pseudomonadota; Gammaproteobacteria; Vibrionales; Vibrionaceae. The record is from RNAcentral.